UACGUAGGGGGCAAGCGUUGUCCGGAAUCAUUGGGCGUAAAGCGCGUGUAGGCGGUCCGGUAAGUCCGCUGUGAAAGUCAAAGGCUCAACCUUUGAAAGCCGGUGGAUACUGUGGGGCUAGAGUCCGGAAGAGGCGAGUGGAAUUCCUGGUGUAGCGGUGGAAUGCGCAGAUAUCAGGAGGAACACCAAUAGCGAAGGCAGCUCGCUGGGACGGUACUGACGCUAAGGCGCGAAAGCGUGGGGAGCGAACAGG
RNAcentral lists this ribosomal RNA (253 nucleotides) under uncultured bacterium. RNAcentral's name for it is "partial 16S ribosomal RNA". It matches the Rfam family "Bacterial small subunit ribosomal RNA", at positions 524 to 776 of the family's 1533-position model. The record is from RNAcentral.